This 253-nucleotide ribosomal RNA is filed under the name uncultured bacterium. RNAcentral describes it as "partial 16S ribosomal RNA". It matches the Rfam family "Bacterial small subunit ribosomal RNA", at positions 524 to 776 of the family's 1533-position model. The record is from RNAcentral.
UACGUAGGUGGCAAGCGUUAUCCGGAUUUACUGGGUGUAAAGGGCGUGUAGGCGGUCUCGCAAGUCGGAUGUGAAAUUCCCGGGCUUAACCCGGGCGCUGCAACCGAAACUGCGGGACUUGAGUGUUGGAGAGGAUAGUGGAAUUCCUAGUGUAGCGGUAAAAUGCGUAGAUAUUAGGAGGAACACCGGUGGCGAAGGCGACUAUCUGGACAAUAACUGACGCUGAGGCGCGAAAGCGUGGGGAGCAAACAGG